Long non-coding RNA from Dreissena polymorpha, 542 nucleotides. RefSeq lists it as uncharacterized. The transcript is spliced from 2 exons. Lineage: Eukaryota; Metazoa; Mollusca; Bivalvia; Myida; Dreissenidae. The record is from RefSeq and is a predicted model, not a curated record.
UGUGAAUUGUGACUCAUGAAUUGUGGAUAUGAUUGUCAAUUGCUCAACGAUCUAUGUAUAUUUCUGACCAUUUUAUUAACCAGGUUUUCCGAAGGAAAAAACUGGUUAUUAGAUUGGCGAAUGCGGGCGGGCUGGCUGGCUGGCUGGCGGGCUGGCUGGCUGGCGGGCUGGCGGAAUAAGCUUGUCCGGGCCAUAACUAUGUCGUUCAUUGUCAGAUUUUAAAAUCAUUUGGCACAUUUGUUCACCAUCAUUGGACGGUGUGUCGCGCGAAAUUAUUACGUCGAUAUCUCCAAGGUCAAGGUCACACUUUGAGUUCAAAGGUCAAAAAUGGCCAUAAAUGAGCUUGUCCUGGCCAUAACUAUGUCAUUCAUUGUGAGAUUUUAAAAUCAUUUGGCACAUUUGUUCACCAUCAUGGGACGGUGUGUCCCACGAAAGAAUCACGUCAAUAUCUCCAAUGUCAAGGUCGCCACGACUAAAAAUAGAUUUAAAAAAAAAAAAAAACUUACAAAGGGGGUUAAUUUUUUUUUGUCAUUUCAAAAGUU